This 253-nucleotide ribosomal RNA is filed under the name uncultured bacterium. Its description in RNAcentral is "partial 16S ribosomal RNA". It matches the Rfam family "Bacterial small subunit ribosomal RNA", at positions 524 to 776 of the family's 1533-position model. The record is from RNAcentral.
UACGGAGGGUGCAAACGUUGCUCGGAAUUAUUGGGCGUAAAGCGCACGUAGGCGGUUUUGUAAGUUGGAUGUGAAAACCCUGGGCUCAACCCUGGAAGUGCAUCCAAGACUGCAAGGCUGGAGUGCCGGAGGGGGUCGGAGAAUUCCCGGUGUAGAGGUGAAAUUCGUAGAUAUCGGGAGGAACAUCUGUGGCGAAGGCGCCGACCUGGACGGUCACUGACGCUGAGGUGCGAAAGCAUGGGGAGCAAACAGG